RNAcentral lists this transfer RNA (72 nucleotides) under Salinibacter ruber. RNAcentral describes it as "tRNA-Gly". It matches the Rfam family "tRNA". From Rfam's summary of the family: Transfer RNA (tRNA) molecules are approximately 80 nucleotides in length. Their secondary structure includes four short double-helical elements and three loops (D, anti-codon, and T loops). The record is from RNAcentral. Lineage: Bacteria; Pseudomonadati; Rhodothermota; Rhodothermia; Rhodothermales; Salinibacteraceae.
GCGGGAGUAGCUCAGUGGCAGAGCAUCAGCUUCCCAAGCUGAAGGUCGCGGGUUCGAUCUCCGUCUCCCGCU